AUACGUAGGGGGCGAGCGUUGUCCGGAAUGAUUGGGCGUAAAGGGCGCGUAGGCGGCGCGGUAAGUCUGGAGUGAAAGUCCUGUUUUUAAGAUGGGAAUUGCUUUGGAUACUGUCGGGCUUGAGUGCAGGAGAGGUAAGUGGAAUUCCCAGUGUAGCGGUGAAAUGCGUAGAGAUUGGGAGGAACACCAGUGGCGAAGGCGACUUACUGGACUGUAACUGACGCUGAGGCGCGAAAGUGUGGGGAGCAAACAGGAUUAGAUACCCUGGUAGUCCACACUGUAAACGAUGAAUGCUAGGUGUAGGGGGUAUCGACCCCUUCUGUGCCGCAGUCAACACAAUAAGCAUUCCGCCUGGGGAGUACGGCCGCAAGGUUGAAACUCAAAGGAAUUGACGGGG
Molecule: ribosomal RNA, 397 nt
Filed under: uncultured bacterium
Lineage: Bacteria
Description: partial 16S ribosomal RNA
Rfam family: Bacterial small subunit ribosomal RNA
Source: RNAcentral